Morchella snyderi is the source of this 102-nucleotide non-coding RNA. Lineage: Eukaryota; Fungi; Ascomycota; Pezizomycetes; Pezizales; Morchellaceae. The record is from the annotation of a GenBank genome assembly.
GCCCCUGUAGUGUAGUGGUGGCACACCCAUCCGUAGAUAAACCCGCUCUUCAGCUGAGAAAUCCCGACUAGGGUAGCGGAGGUUCAAUUCCUCCCAGGGGCU